GCCUGACCUAGCUCGCCCACCCAUACAAAGCUCCCAAAUACACAAAACAAAUCAUUUGACAAAGCCAGUAAAUGCGAUUGAACCCUACAACGACGCAAUAGUGAAAGUACCGCAAGGGAAAGAUGAAAUACUACCUAACUAUAAAGCAACAUAAAGCAAGGAUUAGCCCCUGUACCUUUUGCAUCAUGAUCUAGCAAGAACUCCCAGGCAAAGAGUCACUACAGUCCGCCCCCCCGAAAUCGAGUGAGCUACUUCUAGGCAAUCAACAGAUAUAACCCGUCUCUGUAGCAAAAGAGUGGGAUGACCUAGAAGUAGUGGCAAAAAACCUAACGAACUCGAUGAUAGCUGGUUACCCGAUAAAAGAAUCUCAGUUCAACUUCAAGACCCUCCCCCCUCCCCCCAUACACAAACUAGUAAACCCCGACACCUUGAAAGAUAUUCAAUAGGGGUACAGCUCUAUUGAAUCAGACUACAACCUGUUGUAGAGAGCAACCCAAAUCCUACAAUCAGUGGGCCCUAAAGCAGCCACCAAUAAACUAUAGCGUCACAGCAAAUGACCCUAAAAAUCCCACUAAUAUUCCCGCCCUCCUACCAACCCACCGGGUAAUUCUAUAACUAUAUAGAAGAACUUCUGCUAAAAUUAGUAACAAGAACACCCAUUCUCUACGCACACCUGUAACUCAGCAAUAGAACACCUACUGACAAUUAACAGACCAAAAAAGGACUAAUAUUGCACUAACAAGGCAAGAUUUUAACCCACUGUUGACCCAACACAGGACUGCUUUUAAGAAAGAUUAAACAUUAGAGAAGGAACUCGGCAAACUCUGGCCCCAACUGUUUACCAAAAACAUAGCCUUUAGCAAUAAAAGUAUUAAAGGUCCCGCCUGCCCAGUGACCAACCACUUUAAACGGCCGCGGUAUCCUAACCGUGCAAAGGUAGCGUAAUCACUUGUCCCCUAAAUAGGGACUAGUAUGAACGGCUAAAUGAGGGCCCAACUGUCUCCUUUGAUUAAUCAGUGAAAUUGAUCCACCCGUACAAAAGCUGGUAUACACCCAUAAGACGAGAAGACCCUGUGGAGCUUAAAAUGCUUAAGUCAAAAUAACAGCACAACCAAAAAUGACAUAACAUUUUCAGUUGGGGCGACUACGGAAAUAAACCAAACUUCCAAGCCAAGAGCCAACCCGCUCUACCACAGACAAACAUGUCGAACUACCACCUGACCCAGAACCACUCUGAGUAACGAACCAAGUUACCCCAGGGAUAACAGCGCCAUCUUCUUCAAGAGUCCCCAUCGACAAGAAGGUUUACGACCUCGAUGUUGGAUCAGGACACCCAAAUGGUGCAGCCGCUAUUAAAGGUUCGUUUGUUCAACGAUUAAAGUCCUACGCGAUCUGAGUUCAGACCGGAGAAAUCCAGGUCGGUUUCUAUCUAUGUUAAAUUCUCCUUAGUACGAAAGGACCAGGAAAAUAGGGCCCAUCUUAAUAAGAAGCCCUUCAGGUAUAGUUGACAAAAACUUAACCUAGACAAAGAUACCAAUCUAAGCCCAAAAUCAGGGCUCUU
This 1561-nucleotide ribosomal RNA is filed under the name Ophisaurus attenuatus. RNAcentral describes it as "16S ribosomal RNA". It matches the Rfam family "Bacterial large subunit ribosomal RNA", at positions 375 to 2839 of the family's 2925-position model. The record is from RNAcentral. Lineage: Eukaryota; Metazoa; Chordata; Lepidosauria; Squamata; Anguidae.